This 1450-nucleotide ribosomal RNA is filed under the name Vorticella sp. 4 JG-2011. RNAcentral's name for it is "eukaryotic LSU rRNA". It matches the Rfam family "Eukaryotic large subunit ribosomal RNA", at positions 1 to 1462 of the family's 3401-position model. The record is from RNAcentral. Lineage: Eukaryota; Ciliophora; Oligohymenophorea; Sessilida; Vorticellidae.
ACCUGAAGUAAGCAAGGCUACCCGCUGAACUUAAGCAUAUCAGUAAGCGGAGGAAAAGAAAAUAACAAUGAUUACCUCAGUAGCGGCGAGUGAAGAGGUAAAAGCCCAAGAUGUUAAUCCGUAGUGAAGCUAUGGAAUUGUAAUCUAUAGAAUUUCUCAGAAGGAGAGACUUGUCAUAAGUUCUUUGGGACAAGACACCAUAGAGGGUGAAAGUCCCGUCUUUGGAUGAGUCGAACCGUAUGAGACGUUUCUAAGAGUCGGGUAGUUUGGGAAUGCUGCCCUAAGUGGGAGAUAAACUUCUCCUAAGGCUAAAUAUAAGAUAGGAGACCGAUAGCAUACAAGUACUGCGAAGGAAAGAUGAAAAGAACUUUGAAAAGAGGGUUAAAAGACUUGAAAUCGUUGAAAAGGAAGCAGUAAAAGAGAAAUUAUAGCCGGCGUAUUAAGUUAUUAGUCUAAGCUUGGGGGUGGAGAAUACUUCAUAGGGUUCUUGCCUCAAAGUGAAAACUAAUGGCGUUGCGCAGGUGAAAGGCAAAAUGGCAUCUUCUUGUAAUAAUAAGGCCUAAAGUGUAUUCUGAAGCUAAAAAUUACAAGGGGGUGUGAGGGAUUAGCUAAUGAUUUUGCCAAAAUGGCUUUUACUGACCCGUCUUGAAACACGGACCAAGGAGUCUACCCAUUACGCGAGUGUUAGGGUGGAAAAACCCAAACGCAUACCGAAAGGGAUGUAAGAUGUGAAGCGAAAGCCGCAACAUCAACCAAUCUUGAUUCUUUGAUGAAGGACUUGAGUAAGAGCGUAAUUGGUAGGACCCGAAAGAUGGUGAACUACGGUUGAGUAGGGUGAAGCCAGGAGAAACUCUGGUGGAGGCUCGAAGCGUUACUAACGUGCAAAUUGUUCGUCAAACUUGACUGUAGGGGCGAAAGACUAAUCGAACCAUCUAGUAGCUGGUUCCCUCUGAAAUUUCUCUCAGGAUAGCAGGAAAAGAUUAUGCAGUUUUAUCAGGUAAAGCUAAUGAUUAGUGGACUCGGGGGUCUGAGACUCUCGACCAAUUCUCAAACUUUAAAUUGGUAAGAACUUGUAGUUAUCUUCAUUGAACUACAGGGAUGAAUGCAUUGUUCUUAGUGGGCCAUUUUUGGUAAGCAGAACUGGCGAUGAGGGAUGAACCUAACGUUGAGAUAAGGUGCCAAAAUUCACGCUCAUGAGACACCAGAAAAGGUGUUGGUUAGUAUAAACAGCCGGACUGUGGCCAUGGAAGUCGGCACCAGCUAAGGAGUGUGUAACAACUCACCAGCCGAAUUAACCAGCCCUGAAAAUUGAUGGCGCUAAGCGUGAUACCGAUACUCAACCAUUAAGGCAAAUAGAAGCUUUAAUGAGUAAGAGGGCGUGAAUACUGUGUAGAAGGCUUGGAUGUGAAUCUGGCUGGAACAGUAUUUAGUGCAGAUCUUGGUGGUAGUA